RNAcentral lists this ribosomal RNA (200 nucleotides) under uncultured bacterium. RNAcentral's name for it is "partial 16S ribosomal RNA". It matches the Rfam family "Bacterial small subunit ribosomal RNA", at positions 8 to 236 of the family's 1533-position model. The record is from RNAcentral.
AGAGUUUGAUCAUGGCUCAGAACGAACGCUGGCGGCAGGCUUAACACAUGCAAGUCGAACGCUGUAGCAAUACAGAGUGGCAGACGGGUGAGUAACGCGUGGGAACAUACCCUCCGGUUCGGAAUAACUCAGGGAAACUUGAGCUAAUACCGGAUACGGUCGUAAGGCGAAAGAUUUAUCGCCGGAGGAUUGGCCCGCGU